GACGAACCGUGCGAACGUUAUUCGGAAUCACUGGGCUUAAAGCGCGUGUAGGCGGGUCGCUGCGUCGGCUGCUGAAAUCCCCCGGCUCAACCGGGGAACGGGCACCGAUACGAGCGGCCUGGAGGGGGGUAGGGGGGUCUGGAACUUCCGGUGGAGCGGUGAAAUGCGUUGAGAUCGGAAGGAACGCCCGUGGCGAAAGCGAGGCCCUGGACCCUUUCUGACGCUGAGACGCGAAAGCCAGGGGAGCGAACAGG
RNAcentral lists this ribosomal RNA (254 nucleotides) under uncultured bacterium. RNAcentral's name for it is "partial 16S ribosomal RNA". It matches the Rfam family "Bacterial small subunit ribosomal RNA", at positions 524 to 776 of the family's 1533-position model. The record is from RNAcentral.